GGGUGCUUAGGGCUUUCGGUCCUGAGCAAAGUAAUAUCAGUGAGGGAAUAAAAGAAAGCCCCGGGCAACUUUCGUUAACCCGAGGCUACCCCUCAACCCAGCAAGUUGAGGUUAGCCUCUUACCCGCUGCAAAGCAAGGAGUAAAAGGCAUG
This is a non-coding RNA of Cedecea davisae DSM 4568, 152 nucleotides long. Lineage: Bacteria; Pseudomonadati; Pseudomonadota; Gammaproteobacteria; Enterobacterales; Enterobacteriaceae. The record is from Rfam.